RNAcentral lists this ribosomal RNA (467 nucleotides) under uncultured bacterium. RNAcentral describes it as "partial 16S ribosomal RNA". It matches the Rfam family "Bacterial small subunit ribosomal RNA", at positions 28 to 507 of the family's 1533-position model. The record is from RNAcentral.
GACGAACGCUGGCGGCGUGCUUAACACAUGCAAGUCGAACGGAAAGGCCCUGCUUUUGUGGGUGCUCGAGUGGCGAACGGGUGAGUAACACGUGAGUAACCUGCCCUUGACUUUGGGAUAACUUUAGGAAACUGGGGCUAAUACCGGAUAGGAGCUCCUGCUGCAUGGUGGGGGUUGGAAAGUUUCGGCGGUUGGGGAUGGACUCGCGGCUUAUCAGCUUGUUGGUGGGGUAGUGGCUUACCAAGGCUUUGACGGGUAGCCGGCCUGAGAGGGUGACCGGCCACAUUGGGACUGAGAUACGGCCCAGACUCCUACGGGAGGCAGCAGUGGGGAAUAUUGCACAAUGGGCGGAAGCCUGAUGCAGCAACGCCGCGUGCGGGAUGACGGCCUUCGGGUUGUAAACCGCUUUCGCCUGUGACGAAGCGUGAGUGACGGUAAUGGGUAAAGAAGCACCGGCUAACUACGUG